This 30-nucleotide non-coding RNA is filed under the name Mus musculus (house mouse). Lineage: Eukaryota; Metazoa; Chordata; Mammalia; Rodentia; Muridae. The record is from RNAcentral.
UUGAAGAGUUUAGGGACUUGCCCUUGCCUU